This 779-nucleotide non-coding RNA is filed under the name Semidalis aleyrodiformis. Lineage: Eukaryota; Metazoa; Arthropoda; Insecta; Neuroptera; Coniopterygidae. The record is from RNAcentral.
UAUAAAAAAUAUAAAUAAAAAUAUUUCAUAUAUAUAAAUUUGAUUUUAGUUAAAAAUUUGUUUUAUUUUUAAUUUAAAUGUAAGAUAUUGACUUAAUGAUUUAUUUGGCAAUAAAUAAUAUUAUAAAUAAAAGAAAUUUUGAUAUAGAAAUAAAUAUAUUAUGGGAUAAGUUUGUGCCAGCAUCUGCGGUUAUACAAAGUUAUAAAAAUUAAUAAUAUUAGUUAUAGUUAAUGAUUUAAUUAAUUUAAUAUUUAUAUAAAUAGGUGAAAUUAUUAUAUAAAUUUAUUUUUAAUUUUAUUGAUUGAGGCUAAAAAAUUAAAUUAAUAAACUAGGAUUAGAUACCCUAUUAUUUUUAAUAAAUUUAUAAAGCUAGAGUAGUAAAAGUUAUAUUCUUAAAACUCAAAAAAUUUGGCAGUAUUUUAGUCUAAUUAGAGGAACUUGUUUUAUAAUCGAUAAUCCACGAUAAUAUAAUACUUUAUUUAAUAUUUAUAUAUCGUUGUUAUAAAAAAAUUUUAUAAGAAAAAAUUUUUAAAAAUUUUUAUAAUAAUUAAUUUCAGAUCAAGGUGUAGUUUAUAAUAAAGAAAAUAAUGAGUUACAAUAAUAAUUAAUUAUUAUGAAUUUUUAAUUUAAAAAUUAAAUUGAAAGUGGAUUUAGUAGUAAAUAUAUUGAAAUAAUUAUAUUGAUUUUAGCUCUAAAAUAUGUACACAUUGCCCGUCGCUCUCUUUAUAAAAGAGAUAAGUCGUAACAAAGUAGGUGUACUGGAAAGUGUACCUAGAAUU